UGGAACGCGGAGUAUAGGGUUUCAUUGAUGAGAAAUCUGGAAAGAGCGGCACCGGCGGAGGACCUAGUGAAGGAGACGGAGGAGGGCGCUAGUCACCGGCACGGAGAGGUGGUGAAGAAUAAUAUUGAGGAGGGAGAGGGUGGAAAUGGUGAAUAUGAAGAACUAGAGAAGAUAAGUCCGAGGGUUUUUGAGGAUUUGUCGCCGGAGGCUUUGAAGUAUAUUGAGAAGCUGCAAGCUGAGUUAUCUGAUAUGGAGGAGGUGAGGAUUUUAGACUUUUUAUGUAAUUACAAAUUUUGUAAUUAAUUAUAAAAUCAGUCUCUCUCACACACAUACAUAUACUAUAUUUACAAAUAAUGCGAUUGAGGGUUAAAAGAUGCAAAAUUUGAAGCUCAUGUUCUUUUCUUUUUAGAAGUGAUUAAAAAUUUGUUAUACUUGCUUAAUAUGUAAAUUAAUGAAAGAGAAAUGAAGUUAGAUGAUUCUUGGUCAAUUUGGAAAUAGUUGUCUUUGAGAAAAUUUAACUCUGGAUUUUUCUUGACUUUAAACAUACCAAUUGGUUAUUUGAAUUCCGGUUUGUCUUGAUUGCAUUUCUUCUUCUUGACUGUGUCUCUUGUUAUUAAGGUGCUCUAGCAACAAACAUGUUUUGGCAAUCAAUUUUAUACUGCUCUUUUCUUUCUUGUUAUGUGCUAUAAAGAAAGUUUUUAUACAUAUCCGAGCUUUCCUGUAAUGGUGAAUCCUUCGUUCCUCCAUUUGAUGGGUCAUGGUACCUAACUCAUUGUCAAUAGCUCGAUAUAAUGUGUUCUCCGUGUUCCCUCUAUAUAAGAUUUAUGUCGUUUCAGGAACUGAGUGCUCAAAAGAAGGAAAAUGUGCGAAUGGAGUGUGGCAGGGAAAACAUGAAUGGUUUGUUAGAGUAUUUACGAUCCUUGGAUGCUGACAUGGUAAGAGCUGGAAAGUGUUUCUUUAAUAGAUUGUCAUGUUGUGAAACUGAAUUAACUUUGUUUGAUCGUACAAUUUACUUGAAACUUUCUCAUUGUUUGUACUUUUUAUUUUUCAGGUGACAGAAUUAUCCCAACCAUCAUCGGUACAAGUGGAGGAAAUGAUCCAUCAGCUUGUUCAGAAUAUAUUGCAAAGGUUCUUCAAGGAUGCCUGUAUGAGAGAUUCAGGGAUAGUAAACACGGGAAAUCUUCAAGAUGCUGCUGAUGAAACUUGUG
This 1208-nucleotide long non-coding RNA is filed under the name Gossypium barbadense (sea-island cotton). RNAcentral describes it as "long non-coding RNA (GBAR_LNC021526)". The record is from RNAcentral. Lineage: Eukaryota; Viridiplantae; Streptophyta; Magnoliopsida; Malvales; Malvaceae.